Molecule: long non-coding RNA, 773 nt
Organism: Myotis myotis
Lineage: Eukaryota; Metazoa; Chordata; Mammalia; Chiroptera; Vespertilionidae
Exons: 3
Source: RefSeq, a predicted model, not a curated record
GGCAAAGCCAGCGGGGCAGGCAGCACGUUCCGGGACCAGACCAGGGAUGGUGGGUCCCUCGACCUGCCUCCUAAGUGCCUAAGUGCGCAGAUGCUGAGCAGCAGGUGAAAUAAGUGGGGAAAUGCUGUGUGAUGCCCUAGCCAUCUGUUAACGUCUGCUCCUGGGAUGAAGAUGUUUUUAUCGUUCGCUGUGUGCUGGAAAGGCUGUUGGUUCUGAAGAACAGUGGCGUGCAAAGGAUUCCGGGCUGUGAGCCUGAGCCUGUGGAGAAACUGAGGAAAUUGCUAAGAGCGGAAAUGAGUUCCCUGUGGACGUGGACCCAGCGUGGAAGGGUGGGAGGUAGUUGGAGCCGCGAGGCGGGUGCCCGGCCUGGUCAGCAAGAGUUGCGAGGGAUCGAAUGGCAGCUGUGUUUCUGCGGUGAGACCCUGGGAGGGGCCCGUGUGCAGUGAGUCCCUGUGAGAUCAGCGUCCCCCACACUUAGCCGGUGGUGCUGGACUCGGCUGUGCAGCAGAAUCACCAGAGACCUUCUGACCACUUUGGAAGAGGGCCCACCAGGACCGGAGGCGUUAGCCCAGCAGGAGAGGGGCUUGUCUAUGUAACCUCCCCAGAAAACUGGAGACGCAGCGCGAAAGAGAAACACCAGUGAUGAGAACCAUUGAUUGGCUCUCUCCCGGACACCCCGCAUUGGGGAUGGAGGCCACAACUGGGACAUGGGCCCCAACCUGGAAGCCAACCAUAACUGCCUGGUUCUGGUUCAUAGGUUGACACUCAACCAC